Molecule: ribosomal RNA, 202 nt
Filed under: uncultured Thermus sp.
Lineage: Bacteria; Thermotogati; Deinococcota; Deinococci; Thermales; Thermaceae
Description: partial 16S ribosomal RNA
Rfam family: Bacterial small subunit ribosomal RNA
Source: RNAcentral
CGUCUGGUCAGCAUGGCCCUUACGGCCUGGGCGACACACGUGCUACAAUGCCCACUACAAAGCGAGGCCACCCGGCAACGGGGAGCUAAUCGCAAAAAGGUGGGCCCAGUUCGGAUUGGGGUCUGCAACCCGACCCCCAUGAAGCCGGAAUCGCUAGUAAUCGCGGAUCAGCCAUGCCGCGGUGAAUACGUUCCCGGGCCUU